GCUAUUGAGAAUGAAGAUUUUUUGGGGGCUGUGGAGUUGUAUUUGUUUGCGAGGCAUAUCAGCACAGGUCUACAAUUUCGUGUAAAUGAUGAUGUCCAAUCAGAUAAAAAAUUUAAUUGGAUGAAGCUUGCUGAGAGACAAUGGAAUAUGAUUUCUACAUUCAAUGAGACGAUUAAAAAUGCUUGUAAUGAAGCACUGAAAUGUCCUGAUAUUAAAACAGAGACCGCUGUUUGUUGCAUAUGCACCCUAUGUCUAUUACAAGAUCAAC
Long non-coding RNA from Ctenocephalides felis (cat flea), 268 nucleotides. RefSeq lists it as uncharacterized. The transcript is spliced from 3 exons. The record is from RefSeq and is a predicted model, not a curated record. NCBI's taxonomy places the organism in Eukaryota, Metazoa, Arthropoda, Insecta, Siphonaptera, Pulicidae.